RNAcentral lists this ribosomal RNA (377 nucleotides) under uncultured bacterium. RNAcentral's name for it is "bacterial SSU rRNA". It matches the Rfam family "Bacterial small subunit ribosomal RNA", at positions 521 to 896 of the family's 1533-position model. The record is from RNAcentral.
UAAUACGGAGGGUGCGAGCGUUGUCCGGAAUCACUGGGCGUAAAGGGCGCGUAGGCGGCCCGACAAGCGUGGGGUGAAAGUCCGGGGCUCAACCCCGGAUCGGCCCUGCGAACUGUCGGGCUGGAGCACUGUAGGGGCGGGUGGAAUUCCGGGUGUAGCGGUGGAAUGCGUAGAGAUCCGGAAGAACACCGGUGGCGAAGGCGGCCCGCUGGGCAGUGGCUGACGCUGAGGCGCGACAGCGUGGGGAGCAAACAGGAUUAGAUACCCUGGUAGUCCACGCCGUAAACGAUGGGCACUAGGUGCUUGGGGGAGCGACCCCCCGAGUGCCGUCGCUAACGCAUUAAGUGCCCCGCCUGGGGAGUACGGCCGCAAGGCUG